GACGAACGCUGGCGGCGCGCUUAACACAUGCAAGUCGAGCGAGAACCGGGACUUCGGUCCCGGGGACAGCGGCGAACGGGUGAGUAACACGUGGGUAAUCUGCCCUCGAUUCUGGGAUAGCCCGGGGAAACCCGGAUUAAUACCGGAUAGCCUUUCGAGCCUUCGGGCGCGAAAGAAAGGUAGCUCCGGCCUCCGAUCGAGGAUGAGCCCGCGGUGGAUUAGCUUGUUGGCGGGGUAAUGGCCCACCAAGGCGACGAUCCAUAGCUGGUCUGAGAGGACGAUCAGCCACACUGGGACUGAGACACGGCCCAGACUCCUACGGGAGGCAGCAGUGGGGAAUCUUGCGCAAUGGGCGAAAGCCUGACGCAGCGACGCCGCGUGGGGAAGAAGGCCUUAGGGUUGUAAACCUCUUCGCCAUCGACGAAGCCUGCUUAUGGGCGAGGUGACGGUAGGUGGAGAAGAAGCACCGGCCAACUACGUGCCAGCAGCCGCAGU
Molecule: ribosomal RNA, 495 nt
Filed under: uncultured bacterium
Lineage: Bacteria
Description: bacterial SSU rRNA
Rfam family: Bacterial small subunit ribosomal RNA
Source: RNAcentral